AUUGAACGCUGGCGGCAGGCCUAACACAUGCAAGUCGAGCGGAUGAAGGGAGCUUGCUCCUGGAUUCAGCGGCGGACGGGUGAGUAAUGCCUAGGAAUCUGCCUGGUAGUGGGGGAUAACGUCCGGAAACGGGCGCUAAUACCGCAUACGUCCUGAGGGAGAAAGUGGGGGAUCUUCGGACCUCACGCUAUCAGAUGAGCCUAGGUCGGAUUAGCUAGUUGGUGGGGUAAAGGCCUACCAAGGCGACGAUCCGUAACUGGUCUGAGAGGAUGAUCAGUCACACUGGAACUGAGACACGGUCCAGACUCCUACGGGAGGCAGCAGUGGGGAAUAUUGGACAAAGGGCGAAAGCCUGAUCCAGCCAUGCCGCGUGCGUGAAGAAGGUCUUCGGAUUGUAAAGCACUUUAAGUUGGGAGGAAGGGCAGUAAGUAAAUACCUUGCUGUUUUGACGUUACCAACAGAAUAAGCACCGGCUAACUUCGUG
This 484-nucleotide ribosomal RNA is filed under the name uncultured bacterium. Its description in RNAcentral is "partial 16S ribosomal RNA". It matches the Rfam family "Bacterial small subunit ribosomal RNA", at positions 30 to 507 of the family's 1533-position model. The record is from RNAcentral.